UGUUUCAGAGCAGGUCAGUCGUU
This 23-nucleotide non-coding RNA is filed under the name Gallus gallus (chicken). The record is from miRBase by way of RNAcentral. Lineage: Eukaryota; Metazoa; Chordata; Aves; Galliformes; Phasianidae.